RNAcentral lists this transfer-messenger RNA (399 nucleotides) under Patescibacteria group. Its description in RNAcentral is "JAGQKZ01 sp020429745 Standard tmRNA". It matches the Rfam family "transfer-messenger RNA". From Rfam's summary of the family: Bacterial tmRNA, also known as 10Sa RNA or SsrA, is named for its dual tRNA and mRNA-like properties. Its role is to liberate the mRNA from a stalled ribosome. The record is from RNAcentral. RNAcentral also lists the same sequence under 1 other name.
GGGGAUGUAUAGACUCGACAAGAGUGUACUCUACAAUUGGCAAGCCGAGGAAGGUUUCUGCCCUCGUUAAAUAAAGUAACCAAAAAUAAAUGCAAACAAUAAUGCAUAUACACCCGAAUUCGCUUACGCUUACGCAACUGCGUAAACUAAGUAUUUGAAGUUGUAAAUAACUUCAAAUUUAGAUCGCAAGAUCUAAAUUCGGCAUCGACCUUCUCCGGCCUGAUAGGAGAGGUGUUCGGUGUAAUAUUUAUCAGGCAAAUUGCACAUUAUCAUUCGAAAUUUUCGAAAUGUAUUUAUGAAGUUAAUUUGAUAUUUUCGAAUUAACUAAUAAGAAGCUUGUGUAUCUGGUUGUGCAGAUAUAUAUCUUGGACGCGGGUGCGAAUCCCGCCAUCUCCACCA